GGGGAGGGCACCUUUCAGUAGGCACUCACUACCAGUGGCUGGCCCUGCUCCAAAUGAUGGUAUGUGACUCCUUUUGUCUUCAGCCAAAAGUCCCACUUGUCAGCUUGUGAUGUGUGUGGGCGUCCCGAUGGCCUGCCCUGGGCAAUGCUGGGCUUGGGUGGGCCCCUCUGGAAGAGCGAAGUGUGUAUCCAGUUGCAGGUAACCAAGUAUGAGCCAUGUAGUGCCAUGAGGGCCCCAACAGUGGCCUAGGCAAGGCUGGGGUAGCACAGGGAGGAGAGAGGCAGACGGCAGAGCCCCAGGAAACUGCAGUCAGGGGGCAGGAUGGGGUUUGCUGUACUUUCAUGGCUUGGGUUUGUGUUUCUCUCCCUCUAACGUCUUCCCGUUGUCUUUCCUAGCAGAGAAGGAAGAACCCUCAGGAAGGCCUGUACAAUGUGAGUAGAGGAGACCUCACAUUUGACCUUGGAAAGUUGGAGGAAGGGCUGGAGGAGGGCUCCAGAGGAAGGGCUGGAGGAAGGGCUGGAGGAGGGCUCCAGAGGAAGGGCUGGAGGAAGGGCUGGAGGAGGGCUCCGGAGGAAGGGCUGGAGGAAGGGCUGGAGGAGGGCUCCGGAGGAAGGGCUGGAGGAAGGGCUGGAGGAGGGCUCCGGAGGAAGGGCUGGAGGAAGGGCUGGAGGAGGGCUCCGGAGGAAGGGCUGGAGGAAGGGCUGGAGGAGGGCUCCGGAGGAAGGGCUGGAGGUAGGGCUGGAGGAGGGCUCCGGAGGAAGGGCUGGAGGAAGGGCUGGAGGAGGGCUCCGGAGGAAGGGCUGGAGGAAGGGCUGGAGGAGGGCUCCGGAGGAAGGGCUGGAGGAAGGGCUGGAGGAGGGCUCCGGAGGAAGGGCUGGAGGAGGGCUCCGGAGGAAGGGCUGGAGGAAGGGCUGGAGGAGGGCUCCAGAGGAAGGCGGUUGCUCCUCACUCUGUGGUCUUUGUCUGUCCAGACCUUCCCUUCUUGGAUCGAGUAAUGUCUCACCUGCUUGCGGCCUGCAGCAGCACCUGCUUCUAGAAAGUCUCCUUAGCUGAAAAGUGCCGAGUAAUCUCCCUUCCCUCCCCAAACCCUGCUGCUGGAGUUCCCAGGUUGAUCAGCCUGGGGUGUAGGGGGACACAGCAAGGUCAAGCUAGGCAAGGACGAGGUGGCUGGCCCCUUCGAGGGGCUCCUGUCCUGGGUGCUGAAGUCUUCUGAGUGUACCCCCCUAUAGGAAGGUCAACCUCACCCUCCUGGGUGUGACCCUGAACCCUGAUUGUCGAUCUGGGUUGCCAUGCAGGAGACCCUUGCAGGUGGCAGCCUUCUGUGAAGGAGAUGCCUCCCCGCCCCUCCUGUGGGGAGGGAGGGUUGAUCUACAGCCCGUUUGGCUGUGUAAAGAGACAACUUGCUCAGAUAAAUGAUUCUGGGGCUCCAGGUGAGCCCUUGUUUUGCCCAGUCUCCGUGUCUUUGUCUAGAACUCCACCUCCUAUCUUUUUGAGCCUAACUUGAGCCCCUCAGCUCAGUGCAAAGAGCUGGCAGCUCGGAGGAGACUCCAAAGGGCUGAGGAUGAGGGGGGUGGGCUGGAGCUGGUUGUGGGCAGAGAAGUUUGUGUGCAUAAGGUUUGGAGCCUUGAUUGUGGGAGCCCUCCCUGUCUGCCACUGCUGCCAACUUGGGGAUCAAGAAGCUUCCUGUUGUAGGGGAACCUGCUGCUUUCUGCAUUAGUUGGUAAAAAUCAGUGUUCCACGCCCUCUUCUGCAGGAACUGCAGAAAGAUAAGAUGGCGGAGGCCUACAGUGAGAUUGGGAUGAAAGGCGAGGUGAGUGUUGCUGUUUCUUAAUUUCCGAGGGAGUUCCUCUUGGUCCUCCAGACACGCCUGCUGCAGGCCUCCUUUCCCAUCCACUUCUCAUCCCAGCUGCAAAUGCCCAUGUGGUGGCCAUCAGAGGUGAAGGCGAACCUGGCUGUCACCCAGCCGGGCAGAACAUAAGAAACUAAGGAAGGGCUGAUGCUCUUUCAGUACAGAAAACCACAUCUAGAUUCUAUGACAGCCUAAGCUUUGCAAAAGCAGGUCCGUUUUAAUAACAGGAAGCAUCGAGUGCUUAAUAUGUGCUGCCGUGUUCAGUGCUCAGGACCACAGGUCCCAGGACAACAUGAAAACAAUUCAUCAACAAUUAAGAAUUGUUCAUCAACAAUUAAUUGUUCAUCAACAAUUAAGAAUUUCAAAAUGGUGAGAGUGAAGCAUUGACCCCUUCCAAGCAGGGGUUCUCUGUAGUUUUAUUUAAUUCCCACAACAACCCAAUGAGAAACAUGUGCCCUGCAAGGCACAAGGAGGUUGAGUGACUUACCCAAGGUCUUCUAGCUGGUAAACGGGCACGUGAUUGAACUGACUAUGCCAGAGCUCGUAACUGCUCAAAACAGCUGGUUGUCAGUGAGCAAAAAUGACUAGCCAAGAACUUUAAGAGCUGAAGGGAAGCCCAUUUAUCUAAGCAGUAGGCAAUAUAGGUCCUGCGGGCCCUAGACCUUAGGAAUCUGAUGUCUGUGAGGAUCUGAGUGGGGUGGAGCAAACCCAAGCCCCAUCAUGGCCAGGCCUCACCUUACUCUGCAGAGAUGAAGGUCUGACCAGGGGCCUGAGGAUCCUUCUCUCCCAGGGGCAGGGGUGCUGCUGGGAGACAGUUACCUCUGACUUCCUGGGUACCUUGGGAGGGGCCCUUGAGCAGAAAUGCCACUACUGACUGCCUGACUUUCUAAUCCUUUUCUCAUUUCACUCCCAAACAACCAGCGCCGGAGGGGCAAGGGGCACGAUGGCCUUUACCAGGGUCUCAGUACAGCCACCAAGGACACCUACGACGCCCUUCACAUGCAGGCCCUGCCCCCUCGCUAACAGCCAGGGGAUUUCACCACUCAAAGGCCAGACCUGCAGACGCCCAGAUUAUGAGACACAGGAUGAAGCAUUUACAACCCGGUUCACUCUUCUCAGCCACUGAAGUAUUCCCCUUUAUGUACAGGAUGCUUUGGUUAUAUUUAGCUCCAAACCUUCACACACAGACUGUUGUCCCUGCACUCUUUAAGGGAGUGUACUCCCAGGGCUUACGGCCCUGGCCUUGGGCCCUCUGGUUUGCCGGUGGUGCAGGUAGACCUGUCUCCUGGCGGUUCCUCGUUCUCCCUGGGAGGCGGGCGCACUGCCUCUCACAGCUGAGUUGUUGAGUCUGUUUUGUAAAGUCCCCAGAGAAAGCGCAGAUGCUAGCACAUGCCCUAAUGUCUGUAUCACUCUGUGUCUGAGUGGCUUCACUCCUGCUGUAAAUUUGGCUUCUGUUGUCACCUUCACCUCCUUUCAAGGUAACUGUACUGGGCCAUGUUGUGCCUCCCUGGUGAGAGGGCCGGGCAGAGGG
Molecule: long non-coding RNA, 3380 nt
Filed under: Homo sapiens (human)
Lineage: Eukaryota; Metazoa; Chordata; Mammalia; Primates; Hominidae
Description: HSALNT0017042
Source: RNAcentral